RNAcentral lists this long non-coding RNA (1939 nucleotides) under Pelobates cultripes (western spadefoot toad). The record is from RNAcentral. Lineage: Eukaryota; Metazoa; Chordata; Amphibia; Anura; Pelobatidae.
CGCGUCGUGUGUUUGUGCUUUAGGGUGCACACUCUUUUGCAGUAGGCUGCACACGCCAAUGACCACUUCAUUGAGCUGAAGUGGUUCUGGUGUCUAUAGCUGUCCCUGCAGGCUUUUUGUUGUAAACAUUGCCUUAUCAAAGAAAAGGCAGUGUUUACAUUACUGCCUAGGGACACCUCCAGUGGCAGUCACUGAGAUGGCCACAAGAGGUGCUUUCUGUGUCAGUGCUGUACUCUUUGUGCAUUCAUUCAAUGCAUCUCUAUGAGGAGAUGCUGAGUGGCGCAGUGCUGUUUUGCUGCGCAUGUGCAAUAGCCUCCCAAUGCUUUCCUAUGGGAAAGUACUAGAUUGGCUGAGAGCAUCAAAAUUGAUAAUCUCAGUAAAGGAGGCGGGCCAACCGUGGCACUGGAAAAAAGGUGAGUAAAAUCACCUUUUUAAUGUAAAGAGAGGGGGGCAGAGACCUAAAUAGUUAUUUUACCACUAUAAUUUCAAGAAUGUGUUCCUUUAAGAGCUAAAGAUGGGUCUUGAUCCAGACAUGUCAGUUCAUUUCUACUUUACCUAUGUAGGAGACAACACAGCCCUAAGCUGUUGUUAUUUUGGUUUAACAAACCGUCAUUACUCCACAAUCCCUGUUUAAUGCGUGACCUGUAACUAUGUUGCCUGUCAGUGAAUACGGCCUUAGAUCAUGCCCUCAUGAACUAAUCACCCCCAACAGCCAUAUCAUAGACAGGGCCCAUUGCCUUCUGCUUUAGUGUGUGUCAUUACUGUUUGCUUUCUGUAGUCAUUGUUCUUAUGUACAGUUCUGCGGAAUACGUUGGUGCUUUAAAAAUAAAGGAUAAAAAGAGUAAAAUAUUACAGUGAUUUGUUAGAAACCAUGCCUUGGGGAGAGCUCAUUCCAUGUAACAAGAACUUAGAAACAAGAAAAAAUAAUAGGGGUUUACUUACUAAAGUCGCGGAUACACAACAAGCAAACUGUGAAUAUUUGAACAAAAUUUUGAAAAAGUUGCAAACUAAACAAUUUUGGCAGCUCAGCUAUUUUGGCUGUAAAAUGUGUAUUUCCCAUGUUCCCCACAAUUUCUGGUUUACUAAAUAAUCAAAGUUUUCUAUAUGAACCAAAUUAAGCAAUUUGAUUUACGUGUUCUUUAAAAUAUGUCCGCUGUGACUAUUUCUAUCUAUUCUAGAUAACCCAUACCUUUCACGACUAUGGAGAAGGAGUGCGUUAUAUAUUUUUCCAACAUGGCGGUCAGGACGAAAUGUUGUGGGGUGGCUGGUAUGGAGUCAGAGUAACCAACAGCAGCGUCAGCCUUGAACUUCGUGAUGAAUAAAGAUGGACUCGUAAAACAAAACAAAAAAAUUAUGGGAUAAUUGUUUCAUGGCUACAAUUUCAAAAAAUUUUUUUAUUAAAAAUAUGCCUAUUUUAUAUUGUUGAACAAAUGUAUGUGUACGAAUAAAAGAAUAUAGUUUGAGUUGAACAUCUGUUUAAUAUAAUUUAAAAAAUUUUAAAAAAGGAUUUAACAAACUACUUAUUUCAAACUAUGCAGCUUGCCAAUUUUAUUAUAUUGUUUUAUUCUAGGAAUAUAUAAUUUUAUAAUUCUAGGAAAUCUUUCUAAAUGUAUAACAGAUUGAUGUAUAAAUGUAUAUGAAGGUUAUGUCUGUGUAUCUUAUUUCUAAUACAAUUUAGAAUAAAACAAAUAAAGUUAAACUUUACUUCAUGUAAAAUGUAUAACAGACUACAUUAUUUUAUAUUUCAAGGACAGAUCAUAUUGUUAGAAAAAUAUAUCCUAAUCUAAUACAAUGAUUCCCUUUCAGUAUGUAUUUGUGUUAUUUUAUUUCCGCUGUCUGCAUAGUUCUAUAUGUAGCAUAUUACUUGUUAUUUCGAAUGUACAGAACUUUCUAAUCUAUUCUGUAAUAAUGACAAUAAACACUUUUCGUUCCAAUGUAU